GCUCCUCUGACGUUAGCGGCGGACGGGUGAGUAACACGUGGAUAACCUACCUAUAAGACUGGGAUAACUUCGGGAAACCGGAGCUAAUACCGGAUAAUAUAUUGAACCGCAUGGUUCAAUAGUGAAAGACGGUUUUGCUGUCACUUAUAGAUGGAUCCGCGCCGCAUUAGCUAGUUGGUAAGGUAACGGCUUACCAAGGCGACGAUGCGUAGCCGACCUGAGAGGGUGAUCGGCCACACUGGAACUGAGACACGGUCCAGACUCCUACGGGAGGCAGCAGUAGGGAAUCUUCCGCAAUGGGCGAAAGCCUGACGGAGCAACGCCGCGUGAGUGAUGAAGGUCUUCGGAUCGUAAAACUCUGUUAUUAGGGAAGAACAAAUGUGUAAGUAACUAUGCACGUCUUGACGGUACCUAAUCAGAAAGCCACGGCUAACUACGUGCCAGCAGCCGCGGUAAUACGUAGGUGGCAAGCGUUAUCCGGAAUUAUUGGGCGUAAAGCGCGCGUAGGCGGUUUUUUAAGUCUGAUGUGAAAGCCCACGGCUCAACCGUGGAGGGUCAUUGGAAACUGGAAAACUUGAGUGCAGAAGAGGAAAGUGGAAUUCCAUGUGUAGCGGUGAAAUGCGCAGAGAUAUGGAGGAACACCAGUGGCGAAGGCGACUUU
This 661-nucleotide ribosomal RNA is filed under the name uncultured Staphylococcus sp. RNAcentral describes it as "bacterial SSU rRNA". It matches the Rfam family "Bacterial small subunit ribosomal RNA", at positions 80 to 728 of the family's 1533-position model. The record is from RNAcentral. Lineage: Bacteria; Bacillati; Bacillota; Bacilli; Caryophanales; Staphylococcaceae.